This 253-nucleotide ribosomal RNA is filed under the name uncultured bacterium. RNAcentral describes it as "partial 16S ribosomal RNA". It matches the Rfam family "Bacterial small subunit ribosomal RNA", at positions 524 to 776 of the family's 1533-position model. The record is from RNAcentral.
UACGUAGGGUGCAAGCGUUGUCCGGAAUUAUUGGGCGUAAAGAGCGCGUAGGCGGUCUGUCGCGUCGGAUGUGAAAACCCAAGGCUCAACCCUGGGCCUGCAUUCGAUACGGGCAGACUAGAGUUCGGUAGGGGAGACUGGAAUUCCUGGUGUAGCGGUGAAAUGCGCAGAUAUCAGGAGGAACACCGAUGGCGAAGGCAGGUCUCUGGGCCACUACUGACGCUGAGAAGCGAAAGCAUGGGGAGCGAACAGG